This 1218-nucleotide long non-coding RNA is filed under the name Cavia porcellus (domestic guinea pig). RNAcentral describes it as "lncRNA (ENSCPOG00000000427.4)". The record is from RNAcentral. Lineage: Eukaryota; Metazoa; Chordata; Mammalia; Rodentia; Caviidae.
CCACAGCAGCGUCCCCUCCCCGGGACUUCUGGGUCUGAGCCUGAGGGCUUCCGGCUAACAGGGAGCAUUGCCCCACACAAGACCCUUGGGCUGGAGGUCCCACCCCAGGGCGUCCCCAGAGGAGGGCGACUUCCAAAGCUCCAGGCAGAUGGAGAACCGGAGGGCCCCUCGGAGAGCCCGGUCCCUGGACAGGCCACGAGUCCUCAGGAAGGACUCAGAGACGUCAAGCUGUCAGUGCCUGUCACUGCCCAGCACACCCUGCAGGUGGGCACCCUGCCGAGCCAUCGGCGAAGGGGCCAGAGGUUCCCAGAGCCUGGACUCGCCACCUUCGGGAGCUCAGGAUGCUGAGGGUGCUGCAGUUCACACUCCGGAGGAGACGAGGGGGUUCCUCCCUAGCGAGCAGAGGCCUCCGCCAGACAUCAAGAAGGACAAGGCCCAGUGGCGGGCCCAGCAGGGCUGGCUGAAGAUGGUGCUGAACUUCCUCUGGAGGACGGGCUUUGAGGAGCCCAGAGACAAGGCCAGCAGGAGGCCGAAGGAGAAGGAAGAGCCCCCAGAGUCCCCAGAGACAGCUGAAGAACUGGGCCUCAGGAAGAAAGCCCCGGACAGGAAGGCCAGCCGCAAGAAACACGGUCACAAAAAGCAUGGUGCUGCGGAGGCCGCGGGGAACCAGGACCGGGAGGCCCGGCCGCCACAGGACCGGCUGCCAACCUCGCAGGCUGAGGACCCCGAAGCAGCCCUGGUUUGCAGGGGUGGACGGGAUUCUGGUGACCACCUGUCCUUGCCCUCCAGAGGGGCCAGCGCUGGACAGUUGGAUAGUUCACCCCAGGCCACAGGCUCUGGGCCAGAAGAGGAGCCAGGGAGGCCUGACCAGGAUGACGUCAUCCGGAUGAUCGUGGAAUUCCUCAAGAAAGUGGGAGACCAGUGGGAGGAGGAGCAGUCUCAAGCCUCCCAGCCAGCAGUACUGCUGCAAAACCCAGCCCUGGGCUGCACGAGGAAGUCCCAGGAGAAAAAGCCCAGCAGCCACAAGCGGGCCUUUUCCCUCAAGAAGUACAGCUCAGAGGAGCCCCGGAGGGUGGCCACUGCUGACGUGCCCAGCCCCAGGGGCCGGCCGCCCAAGAGACCCAGCUUCCUGCCCCUCUGCAUGGGUGGCGGUGGUCCCCGGCCCUCCACCUCCAGCAGCCCUGGCUGUGAAGGACCAGGAGCCCCCGAGGCCCCAUC